GGCACUGGGCAGCACUGGUUGCCGCAGGGCAGCCCCCCCCCCAGCAGCCGCCCCCGCCGCAGCGUGUCUGGUCGGUGACUCACGGCCGGGCCGGGGGCCACACGUGUGCCGAGCGCGGGGCUCAGCACGGCCACGUGGCCCAACCCGGUCACCGUGGGGCCCGGGGAGCCUGCGGGAUCCUGCCGGGGCCUGGCGCGGUGCUGGGCCGGUAGGAACGGGGCACGCGGUGCCGUGAGGCCUGUCCGAAGUGGCUCUGGGUGACGGGGACAGCCCGGUGCCACACGCUCGGUGGCCUUGGCGUGGCCGUGCCGUGCCCGUGCGGUGCCGGUGCUGGGUCCCGUGCCGGUGCCGCGCUGGUUCCUGCACAGAGCUGGUGCCGAGGCAGUGCCAGGGCCAACCGGUGCUGGUGCUGCACGGUGCCAACACCGGUGCCGAGGCAGCACGGCUCCUGCGUGGUGCCAGUGCCAUGCCGUGCCAACGGUGUGAGUGCCGGCUGUGGGGCCAGGAGGUGCCAAUACGGUGCCGGUGCCGGUGCCGUGCGGAGCCAAAGCAGUGCCGUGCCCACGCAGUGCCAGUGCCGGUGCCACACAGUGCCAGUGCCGUGCCAAUGCGGUGCCAACUCCGUGCUGGUGCUGUGUGGUGCCGGUGUGGUGCCGUGCCGUCCCAGCGCGGUGCCGGUGCCGUUCCCGUGCCAAGGUGAUGCCAACACGGUGCCGGUGCCGUGCCAACGCAGUGCCAACUCAGUGCCAACGAGGUGCUGUUGCCAUUCCCGUGCCAUGCUGUGCCGUGCCAACGCGGUGCCGGUGCCAUUCCCGUGCCAAGGUGAUGCCAACGCGGUGCCGGUGCCGGUGCCAUCCCCGUGCCAACGCGGUGCCAACGCGGUGCCGGUGCCGUUCCCGCCCCCCCCCCCAACCCUCCCCAAAUCCCCUCCCGGUGCCGCCCCCAGCCCGCCCCCGCCCCUCCCCUGCCCUCCCCCGGUGCUCGGCGGGGCCGUGCCGGUGCUCGGCGGCGGCGGCGGCGGCGAUGGCGCUGUCGGGGCCGCCCCGUUCCUGCCUCCUGCUGGCGGCCGCGCUGCUGCUGCCGCUGCCCGGGGCCGCCCCGGACCCCGCCGCGCCCGCGCUCACCGACGCCGAGAUCGAGGCGUUCCUCAGGGGCUUCCUCGGGCCCGACGGGGACCGCGACGGCGACGGCGACGGGGACGGGGACGGGGAUGGCACCGAGCCGGGCUUCGCCACCGAGCAGGGCACCGGCACCGGGCUGAGCACCGACCCUCCGGGGCGGCUGCCGGAGCCCGAGGCACCCAAGAAGGGCCGGAAGGAAAAAGCCCCAAAACCCACCAAAAAGCCCAAGGAGAGAGCACGGGGCUCCAAAAAGGACAAGGACAGGGACAGGGACAAGGAGCGGGACAAGAGCAGGGACAAGAGCAAGGACGGGGACAAGCCCCCCAAGAAGCCCAAGGAGAAGCCACCCAAGGAGAAGCCACCCAAGGCCACCAAGAAGCCCUCGGGCACGAGGCCCCCGGAGCCACCGGACACCCCCUGGGAGCCCCCCGUGGCCCCGCACCCCCCGCGGGGCGAGGACAGAGAGGGGACGUCCCUGUCCCCAGGGCAGCCGCGGGUCCCUGAGGAGGAGGAGGAGGAUGGCAGAGACCGAGGCGGGCUGGAGGAGCUGCCGACGGAGCGCUGGGAGCUGGGGGGGGAGGACUGGCACCCCCCUCCCGAGGCUGAGGUCCCCGCGGAGCCGGAGCCGCCGACGCUGGACUACAACGAGCAGCUGGAGCGGGAGGACUACGAGGACUUCGAGUACAUUCGGCGGCAGCAGAAACCCCGCAAGCCCCCCAGCAGGAAGAAACCCGAGCGAGUCUGGCCCCAGCCGGAGACGCCACCACGUCAG
This 1893-nucleotide long non-coding RNA is filed under the name Anas platyrhynchos platyrhynchos (common mallard). Its description in RNAcentral is "lncRNA (ENSAPLG00000024324.1)". Lineage: Eukaryota; Metazoa; Chordata; Aves; Anseriformes; Anatidae. The record is from RNAcentral.